UUUUAUGGAGAGUUUGAUCCUGGCUCAGGAUGAACGCUGGCGGCGUGCCUAAUACAUGCAAGUCGAGCGAACGGACGAGAAGCUUGCUUCUCUGAUGUUAGCGGCGGACGGGUGAGUAACACGUGGAUAACCUACCUAUAAGACUGGGAUAACUUCGGGAAACCGGAGCUAAUACCGGAUAAUAUU
This 186-nucleotide ribosomal RNA is filed under the name Staphylococcus aureus. Its description in RNAcentral is "partial 16S ribosomal RNA". It matches the Rfam family "Bacterial small subunit ribosomal RNA", at positions 1 to 180 of the family's 1533-position model. The record is from RNAcentral. Lineage: Bacteria; Bacillati; Bacillota; Bacilli; Caryophanales; Staphylococcaceae.